RNAcentral lists this ribosomal RNA (2079 nucleotides) under Lobothallia radiosa. RNAcentral's name for it is "partial 28S ribosomal RNA". It matches the Rfam family "Eukaryotic large subunit ribosomal RNA", at positions 65 to 1410 of the family's 3401-position model. Lineage: Eukaryota; Fungi; Ascomycota; Lecanoromycetes; Pertusariales; Megasporaceae. The record is from RNAcentral.
CCAACAGGGAUUGCCUCAGUAACGGCGAGUGAAGCGGCAACAGCUCAAAUUUGAAACCUGGCCUUCGGGCCCGAGUUGUAAUUUGCAGAGGGAGUUUCGGAGGCGGCGCCGGCCUAAGUCCCUUGGAACAGGCCGUCAUAGAGGGUGAGAGUCCCGUCCGUGGCCGGCGGUCAAUUCCAUGUGAAACCCCUUCGACGAGUCGAGUUGUUUGGGAAUGCAGCUCAAAAUGGGUGGUAAAUUUCAUCUAAAGCUAAAUACUGGCCAGAGACCGAUAGCGCACAGGUAGAGUGAUCGAAAGAUGAAAAGCACUUUGGAAAGAGAGUCAAACAGUACGUGAAAUUGUUGAAAGGGAAGCGCUUGCAACCAGACUUGCUCGCGGGGGAUCAGCCUCCCUUCACGGGGGGUGCACUCGCCCGUGAUCAGGCCAGCAUCGGUUUUGGCGGGUGGAUAAAGUCCCCAGGAAUGUGGCUCCCCUCGGGGAGUGUUAUAGCCUGGGGCGCAAUGCGCUCAGCCGGGACCGAGGACCGCGCUCCGGCUAGGAUGCUGGCGUAAUGGUUGUCAGCGACCCGUCUUGAAACACGGACCAAGGAGUCUAACAUCUGUGCGAGUGUUUGGGUGUCAAACCCAUGCGCGGAAUGAAAGUGAAUGAAGGUGGGAGCCCCCUCGGGGGUGCACCAUCGACCGAUCCUGAUGUCUUCGGAUGGAUUUGAGUAGGAGCAUGGCUGUUGGGACCCGAAAGAUGGUGAACUAUGCCUGAAUAGGGUGAAGCCAGAGGAAACUCUGGUGGAGGCUCGCAGCGGUUCUGACGUGCAAAUCGAUCGUCAAAUUUGGGUAUAGGGGCGAAAGGUAUGUUGAUUCCCCACUAACGCAACAAUUGAUGGGCUGAAUGCUGACUUCUCAUAGACUAAUCGAACCAUCUAGUGACCACGGCUACUAGAGAUACAGCCAGACGAGCCUUCGGGGCUCCAGUAGCCCCCGCGUGCGCGGGGGCGACACCGUCGGUCUUCGGGGACGCCUUCUAGGCUACCCGCACUGAGCUUCGGCUCAGUCACAGACUAAGUGGCGGUGGCCGCGGACCUCCGCGGUUAGGAUAUAGUCGGCGGGGUCCCUAACGGGGUGCCUGUUCGCGAGCUGGUUCCAGCCGAAGUUUCCCUCAGGAUAGCAGUAACGUUUUCAGUUUUAUGAGGUAAAGCGAAUGAUUAGAGGCCUUGGGGCUGAAACAGCCUUAACCUAUUCUCAAACUUUAAAUAUGUAAGAAGUCCUUGUUGCUUGGUUGAACGUGGACACUUGAAUGCACCGUUACUAGUGGGCCAUUUUUGGUAAGCAGAACUGGCGAUGCGGGAUGAACCGAACGCGAGGUUAAGGUGCCGGAAUGCACGCUCAUCAGACACCACAAAAAUAGCGUGUAUCCUUCAAGGCACGGGGGCGACAGGGGGACAGAAUGUGGUGUCGAGUUUCGAUUAGUCCUAGGUUUAGGGCGAGGUGGCUGAUCUGCGUGGAUUGUUGUAUCGUUUCAACUUACCCGCAGCCGUGUGUGUUUUGGCACGGUCCACAGAUUAAGUAGUUGCCGGCAGUAUCACCGCUGUUCAAGAUAUGAUCGGCCUCGAGGCUUCAAGCUUCGGGGGUAAGUGCAAAAGGUGUUAGUUCAUCUAGACAGUUGGACGGUGGCCAUGGAAGUCGGAAUCCGCUAAGGAGUGUGUACGUCGAGACUCGGGGGUAUGUUGCACACAGACAGCAGAGGGUAUGCUAUCGGACCUGGGGGCAUUUGGCCUUCGGGUUCCGUGACAGCUCUAGAGUGCCCAGGAUCUGUACCUCCCAUCACGGGGUGCGUGACUGGCAGCGGGGGGGGGGCCUUCCCUUCCGUUCACAGACUAGACAGAGCUGGCCGCGGGCGUCACCGCGGUGAAGAUAUAGCCGUUUCGGGCCCUGAAAGGGUGCCUGUGUUCCCAAGAACAACUCACCAACCGAAUGAACUAGCCCUGAAAAUGGAUGGCGCUCAAGCGUGCUACCCAUACCUCGCCGCCAGGGUAGACACGAUGCCCUGGCGAGUAGGCUGGCGUGGAGGUCAGUGACGAAGCC